This is a long non-coding RNA of Salarias fasciatus (jewelled blenny), 267 nucleotides long. RefSeq lists it as uncharacterized. The transcript has 3 exons. The record is from RefSeq and is a predicted model, not a curated record. NCBI's taxonomy places the organism in Eukaryota, Metazoa, Chordata, Actinopteri, Blenniiformes, Blenniidae.
AAACUUUGUGCGCGCGUCCCCGGUGGAUCCUCCGCCGCUUCCAUGAGGCGCGUGCGGUGAUUUUUUCCCCCCGUCCGGUGGAUUUAGUUUGAGGCAGCAGCAUCAUGUGGACGCCGACGGAGGACGAGAAGAUCGGAGUUGUCAUCUGCAACUUCCGGGGCUCGGUGAGUCAGGGCCUGGCCCUGGAGGUGGGAGAGACGGUGCAGAUUCUGGAGAAAUGUGAAGGGUGGUACAGAGGAUUCUCAACCAGGAGGCCAAAUGUCAAGG